GCCGCGCCCUGCAGUUGUUGUGAUUCGACUGAAGAAAGUGUGCUGACUACUGAACUAGGGAGCUGACUGAGACACACCCGGAGAUUCAGUUCAUUUUUCUUUCUUUCUGUUGUUCAUCUUAAUCAUGACAGAGUGUGCAAACACAGAGAGAUCCUUGUGACACACUGAUAUAAAGAUGACGUUUGUUAAAGAGGAGACUGAAGACUUCAGGAUUGAAGAAGCAUUCAGUCUGAAACAAGAAGAGACUGGGGAUCAAACAAAGAGGCAAAGAGGCUUUAUUAAAGAGGAGAGGGAAGACACCAGAAGUGAAGAAAUCUUCAGUAUGAAAGAUACUGAGCAACAAACAGAGAAAGAAGUACUGAAUGAAACUGAAGAGAAAGAUCAAUAUGGGAAUCUUCACGAUUUCACAACUAGAAGAAAAUCUUUUAGAUGUUCGCAGACUGAAAAGUCUU
Long non-coding RNA from Cyprinus carpio (common carp), 452 nucleotides. RefSeq lists it as uncharacterized. The transcript is spliced from 3 exons. Lineage: Eukaryota; Metazoa; Chordata; Actinopteri; Cypriniformes; Cyprinidae. The record is from RefSeq and is a predicted model, not a curated record.